AGAACGAACGCUGGCGGCAUGCCUAACACAUGCAAGUCGAACGAGACCUUCGGGUCUAGUGGCGCACGGGUGCGUAACGCGUGGGAAUCUGCCCUUAGGUACGGAAUAACAGUGAGAAAUUACUGCUAAUACCGUAUGAUGUCUUCGGACCAAAGAUUUAUCGCCUAGGGAUGAGCCCGCGUUGGAUUAGCUAGUUGGUGGGGUAAAGGCCUACCAAGGCGACGAUCCAUAGCUGGUCUGAGAGGAUGAUCAGCCACACUGGGACUGAGACACGGCCCAGACUCCUACGGGAGGCAGCAGUGGGGAAUAUUGGACAAUGGGCGAAAGCCUGAUCCAGCAAUGCCGCGUGAGUGAAGAAGGCCUUCGGGUUGUAAAGCUCUUUUACCCGGAAGAUAAUGACUGUACCGGGAGAUAAGCCCGGCUAACUCCGCGCCAGCAGCCGC
This 443-nucleotide ribosomal RNA is filed under the name uncultured bacterium. RNAcentral's name for it is "SSU rRNA". It matches the Rfam family "Bacterial small subunit ribosomal RNA", at positions 26 to 518 of the family's 1533-position model. The record is from RNAcentral.